RNAcentral lists this non-coding RNA (68 nucleotides) under unclassified sequences. RNAcentral describes it as "DUF805 RNA". It matches the Rfam family "DUF805 RNA". The record is from RNAcentral.
AAAAAGUAGAAACCAGAAACUACUAAAAAAACGGGGAUAAAUCCGAAAAUCCAAAGAGUAGGAAAUUU